RNAcentral lists this ribosomal RNA (512 nucleotides) under Bombyx mori (domestic silkworm). RNAcentral's name for it is "partial large subunit ribosomal RNA". The record is from RNAcentral. Lineage: Eukaryota; Metazoa; Arthropoda; Insecta; Lepidoptera; Bombycidae.
GUCUUUUUGUUAAUAAUUUAAAGUCUAAUCUGCCCACUGGUAUAUUUAUUAAAGGGCUGCAGUAUUUUGACUGUACAAAGGUAGCAUAAUCAUUAGUCUUUUAAUUGGUGACUUGUAUGAAAGAUUGGAUGAAAUAUAAACUGUCUCUUUUAUAAAAAAAAAAUUGAAUUUAAUUUUUUAAUUAAAAAGUUAAAAUUAUUUAAAAAGACGAGAAGACCCUAUAGAGUUUUAUAAUUUAUUUUGUAAAUAUUUUUAUUUUUAUAUUUUUAUAAUUUUAAAUUAUUUUGUUGGGGUGAUAAAAAAAUUUAAUUAACUUUUUUUAAUAGUUUACAUUAAUAAGUGAUUAAAUGAUCCAAUUUUAUUGAUUAAAAGAAAAAAUUACCUUAGGGAUAACAGCGUAAUUUUUUUUUUUAGUUCAAAUAAAAAGAAAAGUUUGCGACCUCGAUGUUGGAUUAAGAUAAAAUUUAAAUGUAGAAGUUUAAAAUUUUGAUCUGUUCGAUCAUUAAAAUCUU